Molecule: ribosomal RNA, 422 nt
Filed under: uncultured bacterium
Lineage: Bacteria
Description: bacterial SSU rRNA
Rfam family: Bacterial small subunit ribosomal RNA
Source: RNAcentral
UGAGGAAUAUUGGGCAAUGCCCGCAAGGGUGACCCAGCAACGCCGCGUGGAGGAUGAAUGUCGUAAGAUUGUAAACUCCUGUUAGAGGGGAAGAAUAGUACCGGUUGGACCGGUAUAUGACUGUACCCUCAGAGAAAGCCCCGGCUAACUACGUGCCAGCAGCCGCGGUAAUACAUAGGGGGCAAGCGUUGUCCGGAUUUACUGGGUGUAAAGGGCGCGCAGGCGGGAUAAAAAGUCAGUGGUGAAAUCCUACAGCUUAACUGUAGAACUGCCUUAGAUACUUUUAUUCUUGAGUUCGGGAGAGAGAGACGGAAUUACAGGUGUAGUGGUGAAAUACGUAGAUAUCUGGAAGAACACCAGUUGCGAAGGCGGUCUCUUGGUCCGACACUGACGCUGAGGCGCGAAAGCGUGGGGAGCAAACA